This 876-nucleotide ribosomal RNA is filed under the name uncultured archaeon. RNAcentral describes it as "bacterial SSU rRNA". It matches the Rfam family "Archaeal small subunit ribosomal RNA", at positions 86 to 963 of the family's 1478-position model. The record is from RNAcentral.
CUGCUCAGUAACACGUAGUUAACCUAACCUAUGGACGGGGAUAACCUCGGGAAACUGAGAAUAAUCCCCGAUAGAUCACGGUGCCUGGAAUGGCCUGUGGUCCAAAUGAUUUAUCGCCGUAGGAUGGGACUGCGGCCUAUCAGCUAGUUGGUGAGGUAAUGGCCCACCAAGGCUAUAACAGGUACGGGCUCUGAGAGGAGGGGCCCGGAGAUGGGUACUGAGACACGGACCCGGGCCCUAUGGGGCGCAGCAGGCGAGAAACCUUUGCAAUGUGCGAAAGCACGACAAGGUUAAUCCGAGUGUCUCCUGCUAAAGGAGUCUUUUGCCGGUCAUAGAACCACCGGUGAAUAAGGGGUGGGCAAGUUCUGGUGUCAGCCGCCGCGGUAAAACCAGCACCUCGAGUGGUCAGGAGGUUUAUUGGGCCUAAAGCAUCCGUAGCCGGCUGCUCAAGUUUUCGGUUAAAUCUAUGCGCUCAACGUAUAGGCCGCCGAAAAUACUGGGCAGCUAGGGAGUGGGAGAGGUACACGGUACUCAAUAGGAAGGGAUAAAAUCCUUUGAUCUAUUGAUGACCACCUGUGGCGAAGGCGGUGUACCAGAACACGUUCGACGGUGAGGGAUGAAAGCUGGGGGAGCAAACCGGAUUAGAUACCCGGGUAGUCCCAGCUGUAAACGAUGCAGACUCGGUGAUGCAUUGGCUUGUGGCCAAUGCAGUGCCGCAGGGAAGCCGUUAAGUCUGCCGCCUGGGAAGUACGUACGCAAGUAUGAAACUUAAAGGAAUUGGCGGGGGAGCACCACAAGGGGUGAAGCCUGCGGUUCAAUUGGAGUCAACGCCAGAAAUCUUACCUGGGGCGACAGCAGAAUGAAGGUCAAGCUGAA